GUUCUACCUUGACGAAUUGUAGUUUAAAGAAGUGUUUUCUGUUGGAGUUUUGGUAAAAGUUCUUUGGAAUAGGACAUCAUAGAGGGUGAGAAUCCCGUAUUUGACCAUUAUUUCCAGCUUUGUGAUACACUUUCAAAGAGUCGGAUUAUUUGGGAAUGCAGUCCAAAAUGGGUGGUAAAUUUCAUCUAAAGCUAAAUAUUGGCGAGAGACCGAUAGCGAACAAGUACCGUGAGGGAAAGAUGAAAAGAACUUUGAAAAGAGAGUUAAACAGUACGUGAAAUUGUCAAAAGGGAAGCGUUUGACACCAGUGUUGUUUUCUCGAAAAUCAAUUAAAAAGGACUGGAUUUUGUGUUGUAUUGACUUUAUCAGCUUUCUGCACUCUUUUCUUGUCUUUUUU
RNAcentral lists this ribosomal RNA (397 nucleotides) under uncultured Neocallimastigomycetes. RNAcentral's name for it is "eukaryotic LSU rRNA". It matches the Rfam family "Eukaryotic large subunit ribosomal RNA", at positions 127 to 520 of the family's 3401-position model. Lineage: Eukaryota; Fungi; Neocallimastigomycota; Neocallimastigomycetes. The record is from RNAcentral.